UGGGCACUACCAACACUCGUGAUAGAAGUGGUUUGAGUUUUAGAAGCUGUGUACUGCUUAUUCUUAUUUCUACUCGAGAAUCCCAUUGAAGCAUUCGAUUGAGUAGGAAACUCUCUUGAUCUCUUGGAUGAGGUCUGAUGUGAUUUCCCCAUUUGUCUUCUCUUUGAGUCACGGGACUCCAUAUCAGUUUUUCUCUUCACUUUGGCCAAUUCUUCUGCCUUGCAAGCUCUUUC
This 233-nucleotide long non-coding RNA is filed under the name Gossypium barbadense (sea-island cotton). Its description in RNAcentral is "long non-coding RNA (GBAR_LNC010627)". The record is from RNAcentral. Lineage: Eukaryota; Viridiplantae; Streptophyta; Magnoliopsida; Malvales; Malvaceae.